Molecule: transfer RNA, 75 nt
Filed under: Alphaproteobacteria bacterium
Lineage: Bacteria; Pseudomonadati; Pseudomonadota; Alphaproteobacteria
Description: tRNA-Glu
Rfam family: tRNA
About the family: Transfer RNA (tRNA) molecules are approximately 80 nucleotides in length.
Source: RNAcentral
GCCCCUAUCGUCUAGCGGCCCAGGACGUCGCCCUCUCACGACGAAAACAGGAUUCGAUUCCCCUUGGGGGCGCCA